RNAcentral lists this ribosomal RNA (468 nucleotides) under uncultured bacterium. RNAcentral's name for it is "partial 16S ribosomal RNA". It matches the Rfam family "Bacterial small subunit ribosomal RNA", at positions 28 to 507 of the family's 1533-position model. The record is from RNAcentral.
GACGAACGCUGGCGGCGUGCUUAACACAUGCAAGUCGAACGGAAAGGCCCUGCUCUUGUGGGGUGCUCGAGUGGCGCACGGGUGUGUAACACGUGAGUAACCCCCCCUUGACUUUGGGAUAACUUCAGGAAACUGGGGCUAAUACCCGAUAGGAUCUCCUGCUCCAUGGUGGGGGUUGGAAAGAUUCGGCGGUUGGGGAUGGUCUCGCGGCUUAUCCGCUUGUUGGUGGGGUUGGGGCUUACCAAGGUUUCGACGGGUAGCCGGCAUGGGAGGGUGACCGGGGACAAUGGUACUGAGGUACGGCCCAGACGGCUACGGGAGGCAGUAGUGGGGAACAUUACACAGUGGGCGGGAGCGUGAUACAGAAACGCCGGGUGCGGGAUGACCGCCUUCGGGUUAUGAACAGCUUUGGCCUGUGACGAGGCGUGAGUGACGGUAAUGGGUAAAAAAGCACCGGCUAACUACGUG